AUUGAACGCUGGCGGCAUGCCUUACACAUGCAAGUCGAACGGGAGCGGGGGAGAAGCUUGCUUUUCCUGCCGGCGAGUGGCGAACGGGUGAGUAAUACAUCGGAACGUGCCCUGUAGUGGGGGAUAACUAGUCGAAAGAUUAGCUAAUACCGCAUACGACCUGAGGGUGAAAGUGGGGGACCGCAAGGCCUCAUGCUAUAGGAGCGACCGAUGUCUGAUUAGCUAGUUGGUGGGGUAAAGGCCUACCAAGGCGACGAUCAGCAGCUGGUCUGAGAGGACGAGCCGCAUCCCUGGAGCUGAGACACGGCCCACACUCCUGCGGGGGGCGGCAGUGGGGAAUUUUGGACAAAGGGCGAAAGGCUGAUCAAGCAAUGACGCGUGUGUGAAGAAGGCCUUCGGGUUGUAAAGCACUUUUGUCCGGAAAGAAAUGGCUCUGGUUAAUACCUGGAGUCGAUGACGGUACCGGAAGAAUAAAGACCGGCUAACAACGUGCCAGCCGCCGCAGUAA
Molecule: ribosomal RNA, 508 nt
Filed under: uncultured bacterium
Lineage: Bacteria
Description: partial 16S ribosomal RNA
Rfam family: Bacterial small subunit ribosomal RNA
Source: RNAcentral